Molecule: ribosomal RNA, 445 nt
Filed under: uncultured bacterium
Lineage: Bacteria
Description: partial 16S ribosomal RNA
Rfam family: Bacterial small subunit ribosomal RNA
Source: RNAcentral
GUGAGGAAUAUUGGACAAUGGAUGGAAAUCUGAUCCAGCCAUGCCGCGUGCAGGAAGACGGCCCUAUGGGUUGUAAACUGCUUUUAUACGGGAGCAAUAAGGUCUAUGCAUAGAUUGAUGAGAGUACCGUAUGAAUAAGCAUCGGCUAACUCCGUGCCAGCAGCCGCGGUAAUACGGAGGAUGCGAGCGUUAUCCGGAUUUAUUGGGUUUAAAGGGUGCGUAGGUGGCUUUGUAAGUCAGCGGUGAAAUUUUGCAGCUUAACUGUAAAAGCGCCGUUGAUACUGUGAAGCUAGGAUUUGGUUGCUGUGGGCGGAAUGUGUGGUGUAGCGGUGAAAUGCAUAGAGAUCACACAGAAUAUCGAUUGCGAAGGCAGCUCACAAAGCCAAUAUUGACGCUGAGGCACGAAAGUGUGGGGAUCAAACAGGAUUAGAAACCCGGGUAGUCC